RNAcentral lists this unclassified non-coding RNA (332 nucleotides) under soil metagenome. Its description in RNAcentral is "partial contains 5.8S ribosomal RNA, internal transcribed spacer 2, and large subunit ribosomal RNA". The stretch from base 1 to 120 matches the Rfam family "5.8S ribosomal RNA", at positions 35 to 154 of the family's 154-position model. The record is from RNAcentral.
GAUGAAGAACGUAGCGAAAUGCGAUAAGUAAUGUGAAUUGCAGAAUUCAGUGAAUCAUCGAAUCUUUGAACGCACAUUGCGCCCCCCAGUAUUCUGGCGGGCAUGCCUGUUCGAGCGUCAUUUCAACCAUCAAGCCCUGCUUGUGUUGGGGUCCUGCGGCUGCCCGCAGGCCCUGAAAACCAGUGGCGGGCUCGCUAGUCACACCGAGCGCAGUAGCACAUCUCGCUCAGGGCGUGCGGCGGGCUCCAGCCGUUAAAGCACCCACCUUUCGCAAGGUUGACCUCGGAUCAGGUAGGAAUACCCGCUGAACUUAAGCAUAUCAUAAGGGAGGA